This 403-nucleotide ribosomal RNA is filed under the name uncultured bacterium. RNAcentral describes it as "partial 16S ribosomal RNA". It matches the Rfam family "Bacterial small subunit ribosomal RNA", at positions 30 to 526 of the family's 1533-position model. The record is from RNAcentral.
AUUGAACGCUGGCGGCGUGCCUAAUACAUGCAAGUCGAACGCAGUGGGGACGGGUGAGUAACACGUGGGUAACCUCCCAUCAGAGGAGAUAACACUUGGAAACAGGUGCUAAACUGAUACUGAUGUAUGGACCCGCGGUGCAUUAGCUAGUUGGUGAGGUAACGGCUCACCAAGGCCACGAUGAAUAGCCGACCUGAGAGGAGGAUCGGCCACACUGGGACUGAGACACGGCCCAGACUCCGACGGGAGGCAGCAGUAGGGAAUAUUGGGCAAUGGACGAAAGUCUGACCGAGCAACGCCGCGUGAGUGAAGAAGGUUUUCGGAUCGUAAAGCUCUGUUGUUAGAGAAGCGGUAUCUAACCAGAAAGCCACGGCUAACUACGUGCCAGCAGCCGCGGUAAUAC